Microtus oregoni (creeping vole) is the source of this 3001-nucleotide long non-coding RNA. RefSeq lists it as uncharacterized. NCBI's taxonomy places the organism in Eukaryota, Metazoa, Chordata, Mammalia, Rodentia, Cricetidae. The transcript has 3 exons. The record is from RefSeq and is a predicted model, not a curated record.
GCCAGUUUUGCUGCGAGCUCCCUUAGAUGACAAAUUGCGCGCUCCUCCGGGAGGCUCUUGGCUCUCAUCAGCCCUCUGCGCGGCUUGGCUCACUUCAAACAACUGUUAUGCUGUUGUUUUCUUCUUGAAGUCCCAUCUUCUCCAUUACCGAUUCCCAGAUUCCAUAUGCCCCAGAGAAGGAAGGACAUAACUGACACGCAGAGGAUACAGAGACAGGGGUCUGUGCUGAGGAAGAGCCCCUGGUUUGUCCUCUCGCCUGAAUCAAACAGUUGUUCACUUGCCGCUUGGAAAAGCGCAUAGCCCUGCCUCUAAGAGCUGAGCUGCGCUGGACCUGAUGAGGCUGCGGUUCCACGGCUAGGGAUGACUUACCCCGGCAGUCAGUUCCCGUCGUCUUGGCAGAAGGCAAGGAUUGCUUUCUUCUCAUCGCUGGAGGAUUAGUCAUGAAUGGGGCGUAUUGCAAGCUUCCGGGGCCUGCUUCUCAUUCACCCGCCAUGCCCCCACCCCAUCCUCACGCUGAUCUAGGAAGUCUGAGAAACGACAUAAUCUUAAAGCGUUUGGAAAGAAAGUGAAAUUAGUUAAACCAAAUCAAAGUAAGCUGGGUGACUUGAAAUGAACUGACGUCAGCAAAGACUGCAGGCUGCUCACAAUCUCUCCAGGAGUGCUCCUUUCUCCCUCCCUCCAGGCUGUAAUCUAGUAAGGCCACCUUCUCAUCUGGUGACAGAAGAAAGCACAGGCUGGGGUCCAUUCAACCCAGAGCAGCAACCUUCCCUGGACCUUGUCCUUUUUCAGAACUUACCAUAAGGUAAGACGCUCUGUUUAACAAUGCAAGACUUGGGCCUGAACAGAUGGCUCAGCCCUUAAAGGUUAGGCUCACAACCCAAAAUAUAAAAAUGCAAGACUUGAAGUCACAACAGGACACUCUUGACAAUAAAGGGUGUCACUAAGAAGACUCCUCCAAGCUUCAGACUGUGUCUCCUGGGGAGGCCUUUCCUUUAUUAUUUCCUACAGCUCCCUGCACUUCCCAAAGUUUGCAGAGGUCUUUGCAUGUUCCCAGAGCAGGGAAACUGAACCCACCCACGACUUGAGCUUCAUAAUAGAAGGGAAAACCCAGGGUACCAAUUUGCACAAAUUCAGAACAUUGAUACCUCAUUUAUUUUCGCCAGUUAGGAAACUUUACGAUUAGCCCCUUUUUUCUUCCCUACCUCAACGACUAAGAGGCUUCAGUUCUGCCCAGGGCCUCUGCAAGCGGACAGGCAAUCAGCUGACAGGAUGCAUGCGGAAAAGGCCACUCUCCCUUUUCUUGUUACCUGGCCAGUUUCAGGCACUGCAAAAAAUAGCUUCCCGGAUUCUCACAUUCACCCCGUGCAGUAAUGAAGGCUCUGCCACUUUGCAGGCACCCUUCAGGGCCUUAGCAUCAGGUUCUCAGGACUCCACGCCUCCAUUAGCGGCCCCGGCCUGGAUAAAAGUCCUUGGUGACCUUAAAAGUAUCCAUUUUAAUCAGCAGGAUCAUUUUUGAGAGGAAACUCUUCUGAGCUUUCUGAGACAGCUGGGCUUUGGCUCUGGUUCCCUUCCCAUCACAGGCCUUGGGGCCUGGAGAGCAUUUCCCUCUGUGGUGGGUGAUGGGGAGACAGGACAGGCCUCUCCUGUGCUGCCCUGCACGUCCAGUGGUCUAGAGCCCAGCUGCGCGGAGGAGGGGAACUUGCUCUCCAGCACGGGAGCAGCUUUCCCAGAGGCCAGACAGAGGCUCUGGUCUUGCUAACUAGUGCUGGGCGCCUCCCUCAAGAGCCUCAGGGUUCUUGGCAGAAUGAACCUUAUCCCUGCUGGGAGCGAUGACUUUCUCAGGCCACGCUGAGGCCAGAUGGCAGGCCACAGGGUGACCCACUAGAGCAUUCGUGCUGAGAGGGUGGCACCCAGGACAGCAGAGAGAGGGCUCCAGGGCCAGCUGGGUCGCUAGGGACGCCCCCACGGAGACAGAGCUUACUCAGUACUGCGGUCCCUUGGGUUUCUUGACAGUAUUUUGGGGUCACUGCCGGUGAUAAAGGCAGAGCCUCCCUUUUAUAUACUAAGGACGCUAAACUCCAAAGCUAUGGUUUUGGAUUCUGCAAGCUGGAACCAGAUCCAGAUCUUAACGGCACAGCUGUGACAGAUUCCGGCUCACUUAUCCGGCCACUGGGGACCAUGCCCUCAAAGCACGUGGGUCUGCAAAAGACAACUAUGGAGAUGUCGGUUUCUGCAACCAUAGUGGCUCUGGACUUGGACCCAGAGGAGAGUGGUUUGACCUGAUGAUUCGCCAAACGAUGCCACUAGCGGAUAUCUUUGGUGAAGUAGAGUUUCCUGGUCUGUGAAAGGAAGAUUCAAAUGCGGCCUAGCCGCUAGAAUCCUGGGAUUCAAAAGAAAUGAGGAAGCCAGGGCUCAGCAGCACCUGCUGCGGGAGAGGCGCUCCGAGGAGAUCUUCGAUCUUCGGAAUGCUGAACCGGAGGCAGCCCCAGUAUUAGCAGAACAAGAGGAAGAGCGCUUCCCUGCGAGCAUUUAGGGAAAGGCACGGCCUUAAGGGACCUCCUAGGCAGAGGAAACAUCUUCUUUCCUUCACCUCCCCUCCCUCCACUUCCCCCACCCCCACGCUCAUUGUUAGUCACACCUGGGCACCCUCUAGUCAGAGUGCAAUGCGUUCAGCGAGGAGGUGCCAGCUCUACGUCCUGCUUGCUCUCUCUUGCUUCCCUGGGUGGGACAGGCUGCACCGGAAAUGGCCAUAAGUGGGUAAGAGAAUGAUGGGUGCUCAUAUAAAGUGUCAGAAUGGAGCAUGGGGAAUCAUAGGUUGUUAAAGAUCAACAUCCUGCCUGUGGAGUCCCUUGUGUAAACGAGGAAAAGCCGUGAAAGGUAAAACGACAUCAAGCUUCAAGAGUCCUAAUGUUUGGAAUCCCAAUAGUUCAUUUAUCCGCACUUCUUUGGACAGAUGCCUCAUAUACUAACCACCAAUAGAAGGUUUUACUGUAGAGGGCAA